This is a long non-coding RNA of Ictalurus punctatus (channel catfish), 1487 nucleotides long. Lineage: Eukaryota; Metazoa; Chordata; Actinopteri; Siluriformes; Ictaluridae. The record is from Ensembl.
UGACCCUGUUCAUACUUUAGCCAUUGCAGAAAAGAAAUACAAGAUUGCCUUCUGUGAGAAUUAACUGCCUUAUCCUCAGUCUGAGCCAAAAGAAUUCCCCGACUCUCUUUUUCCCCUCUCUAAGUGUUUCACAUUCACGCCACACUUCCCGUAUCCAGCGGUCAUGUGGACAGAUGUCUUGGAAGAAUUAAGAACAAACUGCAGAGCACCAUGACUAUGUUGUGCCAAAUGUAAAAAGUUGAAAAUUAUUUUCUGUCCGACAUUUUUGGAACAUUUAGGGAAAUUCUGAAAUAUUUACACAGUGAUGUCAAAUAACAGUUUAAAGUUGCAGUGUACAUUUUUAAAUCUAAAUCUAAAUGUUAAAUGCAGCAGACAGUAAGCACACCACCAAGCAGCUCCACAAUACUGUAUGAUCAUAGGCAAGGUCUAUGAACAGCUGCUCUGAAAAACAGGAACACCAAUGGCAUCAUCAAGGCCUUUAAUGCUGCAGGUCAGUGGCUAAAAGCUGCCUCUAUGCUCUCCUUUCUGAAGGCAAUCAGAGAUGAAGAUUUAGCAUCAUGUCUGUAUUAUCCAUCAGACUCUGGUGUAGAGCUCAACUUUAGAGUGUGCACUGAGGCGCCAAGUAGAUCCAGGUAGAACCAUCAGAGGAAGAUAGAGGAGUGUUUUCAGAAAGUCUAAUGGACUCUGGCCUGCUUUACCAUUUCUAAUCAUUUGUUCUAUACAAACAAAAAUCAAACAGAGGAUGGUCAAAGAAACAGUGAGUAACAUAAUGGAUAAGGAUUCUGUAACGCCUAAUGCAAUUGAAAGUAAGCUCUCACAUUUUAUUUGAAAAAUAUUUCUCUGCUUUUAGGUCCACUCAGGAAAUUGGAAAUUCCACAGAAGAAAAGUGGAAUGCAUGUUAUUAGGAAGUUCAUCUCCUUGUUGAAAUAUUUACUGGGGAUUAAAUAAAUUAAAAUAUGCUUCCCAGACAAAACAUUUCUGUGGAUUAAUUAAAAUGAGUUUCCGUGGACCAAGCUUCCAGGAUGAUGUCAAUAUGCUGUACACCUGGACAAAUGUGACCUAUCAUAGCCUGGUUUGUUGGAUUCAGAAAUUUGACUUUUAUGCUUUAUAUCACCAAACCUCAAUCCGAUCAAUAUACUGUGGGAUUACUUAAAACAGCAGGUUCAUGACACUCAUGACAGGUCUCCUCAACUGGCAGGAUUGGCACUGUUAUUAAGGCAUGGGGAGCCAUAACCAAGCAUAAAAAAAUCACACUUGGGGAAUAACUGGUUCUUUCACUUUUCCUGUGUUGGUGAUUUACCUGCUGUUCCAAAUAAUGUCAACUUUCUAUGUGAUUCAGGCCUGAUAAUUUUGUAGCUAGUCAAAGUGCCCUAACGUCCCCACCAUUCUUUUUGUUUGGCCCUGUGCACCCUACAGUCAUCACUUUGGGAAUACUUUGAUCCUGUUCAACAAGAUGAGCUAAAAUAAUAAUAAUAAAUAAAAAUUAA